CAAAUUAUAUUAUAUUUUUACAUUCAAAGAAAAAAAUAUGGCUGAUACUCUCAAGUUUAUUGUUACAAUGAUUCUAUUUUUUUUAUUAUUUCUUGUUCCAAUGAAAGCAAGUGGUGGUAAACCAUUUUCUCAUCCAUUUAAAGCAUAUAUUGAUUGUAAAACCAAUGAAGAUUGUCCAGAAAGUGUGAACGAACAUUAUACUAUUAUUUGCAUUGAUUACAAAUGUGAAACAAUUCGAAUUCCUCCAACAUCGGGCCUAAUCUGGUAAAAAACAAAGCAUAUAUUGAUUGUAAAACCAAUGAAGAUUGUCCAGAAAGUGUGAACGAACAUUAUACUAUUAUUUGCAUUGAUUACAAAUGUGAAACAAUUCGAAUUUUUCCGUUAUCGGGCCUAAUCUGGUAAAAAAAGGUACUCCUAAUCUUAGAAAUUAGAAUGAUUUAUUGUGGUAGCAGAAGAGGUGCAAUAUUGCUCCGGAAGAAGAGAUGUGCAAUAAAUAGUGGCGAAUCUAUUAUUUAUAUGUUUAGGAGUUUUUUCUCAUGGAAACUUUCUUAUGUGGCAUUCUCUUGCUUAGUCAACUUUGUUUUCAUCCUACAUGACAUCUUCUCAAGCAUGAGUUGCUUAUGUGUCAUUUGUUUACAACUUCUUGAGUUUUAUGUUCACAAUUUUGGUAGUUUU
Trifolium pratense (red clover) is the source of this 675-nucleotide long non-coding RNA. RefSeq lists it as uncharacterized. The record is from RefSeq and is a predicted model, not a curated record. Lineage: Eukaryota; Viridiplantae; Streptophyta; Magnoliopsida; Fabales; Fabaceae. The transcript is spliced from 3 exons.